Long non-coding RNA from Clupea harengus (Atlantic herring), 1178 nucleotides. NCBI's taxonomy places the organism in Eukaryota, Metazoa, Chordata, Actinopteri, Clupeiformes, Clupeidae. The record is from Ensembl.
CCCCGCGAUAUCUGGGUGUAUGAUGUCCCAUGCAGGCCUGUCCCGCCGGUUAUGCAGUGCUGGGCGGGGGGCCUGGUGACCUCAGCACUCGGUGACACGCUGGAGAGUGACAGUGACCGCAGCACCCCUUCCGAGCUGGACCCAGGGGUCUGUUGUGACAAGGAGCCUGGCUGCCAUAAGCGGGAAAUGACCCCAGUUUUCCGGUUUGACGAGGAGCCUGGCUGCCAUGAGCGGGAAAUGACCCCGGUGUUCCGGUUCAACCCGCUGCUGGACUUUGACAACGACUGCGUGGACAUGGGGGCACCUGCCUUCUCCAGGUCUGACAGUGAUGUCAUACUGACCAGCCGGGACAUGGAUCAUAACUGUGACGCCCAUGGCACCUGUGUUGAGAGAAACACCCCUGUCCUGGUCUACCAGCAGACUGGCAGUGGAGACAGCUCCUGGGGGGAGAGCGUGGCCCUGGGUGAGCAGGCAUGCUUGGGGAUUGCUGCGGGCUCCUCUGUCCGCCUGCCUGAGGCCCUGCUGGAGGCAGGCGGCCGGGCAGGGGCACGGAGCGAGUUGGAGUGUAGCAUGAGUGACAUGCUUGACAUGCAUCUGGAGAUGAGGCGGCGUCUAGAUGCGGUGGAGCACACGCUGACCUUUGGCCCACAGCAGCAGGAGAGACUGCGCGAGGAGGAACAGCGGGUGGAGAAUCACCUCCAGCCGCAGAGGAAGCAAACGUGGUUCAAACGCCUCGGCAACGCCCUCAAACGCCUGGGAAAGAGGAAGAGGAAAGAGGAGUGUGAAGGGGGAGAGGGUGGCCCUGGGUGUGACGAGCUGUGCCCAAUCACACAGGACGUGAGCAUCUCACAGGCCACUAUGGGGAAGAUGUGUGAGGCGGACGCCUGUGUCAGAAACCGGCAGGCAGCCUCACGUGACCAGCAGCGAAUGGACCUGCUCCAGGAGCAGCUGGAGGACUUGGAGAGAAGAUUCCAGAAGCAGAAGGUGCAGCUGCAGAAUGCCGAAAGCGCACUGGAGAGGCGCCAGAUCGAGGCGGCGAAUCUGCCCUCCACCUUCCGGUUCGGAGUUGGCCCAACUUGCGAGCCUUCUAACAACUGCCUUUUCCUUGAUGUAAAAGGGGUAUGUGUGUUUCAGUUAUUCCAUAGACACCACUGAAUCUAAUGCAGCCAUACUCCCCC